CAGCACCUCAAGUGGUCAGGAGGAUUAUUGGGCCCAAAGCAUCCGUAGCCUGUUUUGUAAGUUUCCGGUUAAAUCCAUUAGCUCAACUAAUGGGCUGCCGAAAAUACUGCAAAACUAGGGAGUGGGAGAGGUAGACGGUACUCGGUAGGAAGGGGUAAAAUCCUUUGAUCUAUUGAUGACCACCUGUGGCGAAGGCGGUCUACCAGAACACGUUCGACGGUGAGGGAUGAAAGCUGGGGGAGCAAACCGGAUUAGAUACCCGAGUAGUCC
This 270-nucleotide ribosomal RNA is filed under the name uncultured archaeon. RNAcentral describes it as "partial 16S ribosomal RNA". It matches the Rfam family "Archaeal small subunit ribosomal RNA", at positions 477 to 747 of the family's 1478-position model. The record is from RNAcentral.